Molecule: ribosomal RNA, 391 nt
Filed under: uncultured bacterium
Lineage: Bacteria
Description: bacterial SSU rRNA
Rfam family: Bacterial small subunit ribosomal RNA
Source: RNAcentral
GUGCCAGCCGCCGCGGUAAUACGGAGGAUCCAAGCGUUAUCCGGAUUUAUUGGGUUUAAAGGGAGCGUAGAUGGAUUUUUAAGUCAGUUGUGAAAGUUCGGGGCUCAACCCCGUAAUUGCAGUUGAUACUGGAUAUCUUGAGUACAGUUGAGGUAGGCGGAAUUCGUGGUGUAGCGGUGAAAUGCUUAGAUAUCACGAAGAACUCCGAUUGCGAAGGCAGCUUACUAAGCUGUAACUGACAUUGAGGCUCGAAAGUGUGGGUAUCAAACAGGAUUAGAUACCCUGGUAGUCCACACGGUAAACUAUGGAUACUCGCUGUAGGCGAUACACAGUCUGCGGCCAAGCGAAAGCAUUAAGUAUCCCACCUGGGGAGUACGCCGGCAACGGUGAA